RNAcentral lists this ribosomal RNA (482 nucleotides) under uncultured bacterium. RNAcentral's name for it is "partial 16S ribosomal RNA". It matches the Rfam family "Bacterial small subunit ribosomal RNA", at positions 30 to 507 of the family's 1533-position model. The record is from RNAcentral.
AUUGAACGCUGGCGGCAUGCCUUACACAUGCAAGUCGAACGGUAACAGGUCUUCGGCUGCUGACGGGUGGCGAACGGGUGCGUAAUACAUCGGAACGUGCCCAGACGUGGGGGAUAACGAGGCGAAAGCUUUGCUAAUACCGCAUACGAUCUAAGGAUGAAAGCAGGGGACCGCAAGGCCUUGUGCGUUUGGAGCGGCCGAUGGCAGAUUAGGUAGUUGGUGGGAUAAAAGCUUACCAAGCCGACGAUCUGUAGCUGGUCUGAGAGGACGACCAGCCACACUGGGACUGAGACACGGCCCAGACUCCUACGGGAGGCAGCAGUGGGGAAUUUUGGACAAUGGGCGAAAGCCUGAUCCAGCAAUGCCGCGUGCAGGAUGAAGGCCUUCGGGUUGUAAACUGCUUUUGUACGGAACGAAAAGGCUCUGGCUAAUACCUGGGGCACAUGACGGUACCGUAAGAAUAAGCACCGGCUAACUACGUG